UCAUCUGGAAAGAUGAAUCAAAGAAGGUAAUAAUCCUGUAGUCGAAAAUGUUGUCUCUCUUGAGUGGAUCCUGAGUACGACGGAGCACGUGAAAUUCCGUCGGAAUCUGGGAGGACCAUCUCCUAAGGCUAAAUACUCUCUAGUGACCGAUAGUGAACCAGUACCGUGAGGGAAAGGUGAAAAGCACCCCGGAAGGGGAGUGAAAUAGAACCUGAAACCGUGUGCUUACAAGUAGUCAGAGCCCGUUAAUGGGUGAUGGCGUGCCUUUUGUAGAAUGAACCGGCGAGUUACGAUUUGAUGCAAGGUUAAGCAGUAAAUGUGGAGCCGUAGCGAAAGCGAGUCUGAAUAGGGCGUUUAGUAUUUGGUCGUAGACCCGAAACCAGGUGAUCUACCCUUGGUCAGGUUGAAGUUCAGGUAACACUGAAUGGAGGACCGAACCGACUUACGUUGAAAAGUGAGCGGAUGAACUGAGGGUAGCGGAGAAAUUCCAAUCGAACCUGGAGAUAGCUGGUUCUCUCCGAAAUAGCUUUAGGGCUAGCCUCAAGUGAUGAUUAUUGGAGGUAGAGCACUGUUUGGACGAGGGGCCCCUCUCGGGUUACCGAAUUCAGACAAACUCCGAAUGCCAAUUAAUUUAACUUGGGAGUCAGAACAUGGGUGAUAAGGUCCGUGUUCGAAAGGGAAACAGCCCAGACCACCAGCUAAGGUCCCAAAAUAUAUGUUAAGUGGAAAAGGAUGUGGCGUUGCCCAGACAACUAGGAUGUUGGCUUAGAAGCAGCCAUCAUUUAAAGAGUGCGUAAUAGCUCACUAGUCGAGUGACACUGCGCCGAAAAUGUACCGGGGCUAAACAUAUUACCGAAGCUGUGGAUUGUCCUUUGGACAAUGGUAGGAGAGCGUUCUAAGGGCGUUGAAGCAUGAUCGUAAGGACAUGUGGAGCGCUUAGAAGUGAGAAUGCCGGUGUGAGUAGCGAAAGACGGGUGAGAAUCCCGUCCACCGAUUGACUAAGGUUUCCAGAGGAAGGCUCGUCCGCUCUGGGUUAGUCGGGUCCUAAGCUGAGGCCGACAGGCGUAGGCGAUGGAUAACAGGUUGAUAUUCCUGU
Molecule: ribosomal RNA, 1096 nt
Filed under: Staphylococcus aureus
Lineage: Bacteria; Bacillati; Bacillota; Bacilli; Caryophanales; Staphylococcaceae
Description: partial 23S ribosomal RNA
Rfam family: Bacterial large subunit ribosomal RNA
Source: RNAcentral